This 671-nucleotide ribosomal RNA is filed under the name uncultured bacterium. Its description in RNAcentral is "bacterial SSU rRNA". It matches the Rfam family "Bacterial small subunit ribosomal RNA", at positions 1 to 668 of the family's 1533-position model. The record is from RNAcentral.
CCCUUAGAGUUUGAUCCUGGCUCAGAUUGAACGCUGGCGGCGUGCCUAACACAUGCAAGUCGAGCGGCAGCGCGGGAGCAAUCCUGGCGGCGAGCGGCGGACGGGUGAGCAAUAUUUGGGAAUCUGCCUAUUAGUGGGGGGCAACCCGGGGAAACUCGGGCUAAUACCGCAUACGCACUACGGUGGAAAGCCGGGGACCGCAAGGCCUGGCGCUAAUAGAUGAGCCCAAAUCGGAUUAGCUAGUUGGUGAGGUAAUGGCUCACCAAGGCUACGAUCCGUAGCUGGUCUGAGAGGACGACCAGCCACACCGGAACUGAGACACGGUCCGGACUCCUACGGGAGGCAGCAGUGGGGAAUAUUGGACAAUGGGCGAAAGCCUGAUCCAGCGACGCCGCGUGGGUGAAGAAGGCCUGCGGGUUGUAAAGCCCUUUCGGUGGGGAAGAAAAGCCUCGACCUAACACGUCGGGGUCUUGACGUAACCCAAGAAAGAAGCACCGGCUAACUCUGUGCCAGCAGCCGCGGUAAUACAGAGGGUGCGAGCGUUAAUCGGAAUUACUGGGCGUAAAGCGCGCGUAGGCGGCUUUGCAAGUCGAGUGUGAAAUCCCCAGGCUUAACCUGGGAACUGCAUUCGAGACUGCAUCGCUAGAGUAUGGGAGAAGGGAAGUGGAAUU